Neonectria punicea is the source of this 101-nucleotide non-coding RNA. The record is from the annotation of a GenBank genome assembly. Lineage: Eukaryota; Fungi; Ascomycota; Sordariomycetes; Hypocreales; Nectriaceae.
CCCAGACUGGUGUAAUGGUAACACGACGCGUCGACCGAUCAUGGAGGCGUUUCGCCAGAGAAGUGUAUCCGGGAAUCUGGGUUCGACUCCCAGGUCUGGGC